CCUUGCUGCUGUGUACCACCAGAUUGUGAUCAGGGCAAUCCCAUUCAAGAGCAGAUCUUGAGGAUAGUAAUACUUGUGGUGGUUCAUUUCCAAGUGUGUUGUGGGCUCUUUUUUUUUGUGUGGAUCUUUAGCUUUUGUUUUGAUCCACUUUCUAUCCUCAUUGUGUUAUGUAUUGGAGAAUUACUUAUAUGAAGUUAAUGUGUAAAUUAUUGGAGUCUUGAUGUAAAUUGUAUUCCUAUCUUUUAAGAAUU
Molecule: unclassified non-coding RNA, 251 nt
Filed under: Hevea brasiliensis (rubber tree)
Lineage: Eukaryota; Viridiplantae; Streptophyta; Magnoliopsida; Malpighiales; Euphorbiaceae
Source: RNAcentral